This 384-nucleotide ribosomal RNA is filed under the name uncultured bacterium. RNAcentral describes it as "bacterial SSU rRNA". It matches the Rfam family "Archaeal small subunit ribosomal RNA", at positions 339 to 727 of the family's 1478-position model. The record is from RNAcentral.
GCGCGAAAACUUUACAAUGCGGGAAACCGUGAUAAGGGAACUCCGAGUGUCCGUAAAUUCGGACUGUCCGUAUGUUUAAAAAGCAUACGAAGAAAGGGCCGGGCAAGACCGGUGCCAGCCGCCGCGGUAAUACCGGCGGCUCGAGUGGUGGCCACUAUUACUGGGCUUAAAGCGUUCGUAGCUUGGUUGUUAAGUCUCUUGGGAAAUCUAUCGGCUUAACCGAUAGGCGUCCAGGGGAUACUGGCAAUCUAGGGACCGGGAGAGGUGAGGGGUACUUCAGGGGUAGGAGUGAAAUCCUGUAAUCCUUGGGGGACCACCUGUGGCGAAGGCGCCUCACCAGAACGGCUCCGACAGUGAGGGACGAAAGCUGGGGGAGCAAACCGG